Chiroxiphia lanceolata (lance-tailed manakin) is the source of this 603-nucleotide long non-coding RNA. RefSeq lists it as uncharacterized. Lineage: Eukaryota; Metazoa; Chordata; Aves; Passeriformes; Pipridae. The record is from RefSeq and is a predicted model, not a curated record. The transcript has 3 exons.
GCGAUGUAAAUCUGACUCAUGCAGAGGAAGUCACAAAGAUGCCCCGGCCUGUCUGGAUUUCCAGCAAUAUUAUGAUGAGGAAUACAUUCAUUUGUCUGUAAGGAAAGGAUUUAAAGAACAGUCCAACCAAGGACUAGGAACACACACACCCCUUGUCAAGACUUUGGAGAGACUUUGGGGAUAAUCAUCAUGGACUCUUCAAUGUCCCUGUGACAGGAAGAACAUCUGGUUCCUGCUCAGAGAUCUGUGCCAACCAAGGAGAAAGGGAACAAGCUGAUCCUGCCUGGAAAACACAACCCAGUGGGAAAGGGGGAAUGAAAAGGCUGCUUGAAAAGCAAGCGAGCAGAAGUCUAUUCUCUGAUUCCCACUCUUCUGGUUCAAGAUGAAAUGGAGAUGAUGAAAAUCAAGAUGAAACUGUCUGAAUGUUGAAGAGGUGCAGCUGCAGCCACAGAUGUAGACUUUCCUACAGACCAGAGCAGAGCAAAUGAGAAGGAAAGUGCAUUUUCCCUCCCUCUCCCACAGCCUGCUCUGCCCAAGCUGCUGCUUUCCAGCCACAACCUGCAGCAGCAAUAACUUUUAUUGAUAUUUUUUUAGGGGAAUUCC